CGAAGGGCAGGGCAGAGCAGGGGAUGAAUUACGAAGAGGUGGGGGUGGGGCAUGGUGGAGAGCGACUGCUUACAGGACAGGACAGGGCGAUCCACAAGAAAGAGGUCAAGUGUUCUUGGAUCUCGAUCUCGAUCGAUGCAAUAGCAGGGCUCCGCAUCGAUUGAUCCUCCUGCAAAUUUAAUUUUAAGAUCAGAAUAUAUACAAGCAAGCUGCUGCUGUUUCGGGAACCAUAAAUGAUGCAUACGAGAGAAAAGGGCCGGAUGAUCGGACAACCGAACCUAUAAUAGGGAGCACGAAAUCUACACUAAUCAAACAAUGAAAGUGAGUAAUUGUGCAAUUCCAAUGUUUGUCGAACCAACAGAAUAGAGUAACAUAUAUAUCAAACUAACAUACCUGAUGUCAAUGGUCAUAACAUCGGAAUUGCUUCGGGGUUGUGGUGGCGGCGGUGGACAGGUAUAAUUUGGAGAAAAUACCUGGGAAAAAAUAUAAGCACGGAUCAUGCAUCAAGCUUCUAACAAUAUAUAUAUAAGCAUCGUGAGAAUGAAAAAUCAAACCUGAUUGCAGAUUUCACAGGUGGUGUCGCCCUUUUUAUUGCACCAUCUCUGAAUACACUUCCUGUGGGCAAACUA
Molecule: long non-coding RNA, 629 nt
Organism: Andrographis paniculata
Lineage: Eukaryota; Viridiplantae; Streptophyta; Magnoliopsida; Lamiales; Acanthaceae
Exons: 3
Source: RefSeq, a predicted model, not a curated record